Long non-coding RNA from Esox lucius (northern pike), 150 nucleotides. RefSeq lists it as uncharacterized. NCBI's taxonomy places the organism in Eukaryota, Metazoa, Chordata, Actinopteri, Esociformes, Esocidae. The record is from RefSeq and is a predicted model, not a curated record. The transcript has 3 exons.
GUUCAGAUGUUUUGUGCUUCUUCGCAUAUCAACAGGUGAACAGGUGAUGACGUUUCCUGUAGUUUUGUUCCCGGAGGAGGAAGACUGUGACAUCAGUUCCAUGCCAGGAUGGAGCAAGCGCAGUACUCCAAGGCACCAGAGAGGUACUCC